GCCGGCGUGGCUCAGUUGGCAGAGCAGCGGUUUCGUAAACCGCAGGUCGUCGGUUCGAUUCCGACCGCCGGCU
RNAcentral lists this transfer RNA (73 nucleotides) under bacterium. RNAcentral's name for it is "tRNA-Thr". It matches the Rfam family "tRNA". Rfam says of the family: Transfer RNA (tRNA) molecules are approximately 80 nucleotides in length. The record is from RNAcentral. RNAcentral also lists the same sequence under 2 other names.